Molecule: ribosomal RNA, 459 nt
Filed under: uncultured bacterium
Lineage: Bacteria
Description: partial 16S ribosomal RNA
Rfam family: Bacterial small subunit ribosomal RNA
Source: RNAcentral
CCUACGGGUGGCAGCAGUGGGGAAUAUUGGGCAAUGGACGCAAGUCUGACCCAGCAACGCCGCGUGAAGGAAGAAGGUACAGCGUAUCGUAAACCUCUUUUGUCAGGGAACAAAGGCGGGGACUAGUCCCCGGAUGAGGGUACCUGAAGAAAAAGCAUCGGCUAACUCCGUGCCAGCAGCCGCGGUAAUACGGAGGAUGCGAGCGUUAUCCGGAUUUAUUGGGUUUAAAGGGUGCGCAGGCGGACUGUUAAGUCAGCGGUAAAAGCCCGGGGCUCAACCCCGGCGAGCCGUUGAAACUGGCGGGCUGGAGUUGGAGAGAGGUACGCGGAAUGCGCGGUGUAGCGGUGAAAUGCUUAGAUAGCGCGCAGAACCCCGAUUGCGAAGGCAGCGUACCGGCUCCACACUGACGCUGAGGCACGAAAGCGUGGGUAUCGAACAGGAUUAGAUACCCGAGUAGUC